GAUUAAGUUAUUAAGGGCGCACGGUGGAUGCCUUGGCACUAGAAGCCGAUGAAGGACGUUACUAACGACGAUAUGCUUUGGGGAGCUGUAAGUAAGCUUUGAUCCAGAGAUUUCCGAAUGGGGAAACCCAGCAUGAGUUAUGUCAUGUUAUCGAUAUGUGAAUACAUAGCAUAUCAGAAGGCACACCCGGAGAACUGAAACAUCUUAGUACCCGGAGGAAGAGAAAGAAAAUUCGAUUCCCUUAGUAGCGGCGAGCGAAACGGGAAGAGCCCAAACCAACAAGCUUGCUUGUUGGGGUUGUAGGACACUCUAUACGGAGUUACAAAGGACGACAUUAGACGAAUCAUCUGGAAAGAUGAAUCAAAGAAGGUAAUAAUCCUGUAGUCGAAAAUGUUGUCUCUCUUGAGUGGAUCCUGAGUACGACGGAGCACGUGAAAUUCCGUCGGAAUCUGGGAGGACCAUCUCCUAAGGCUAAAUACUCUCUAGUGACCGAUAGUGAACCAGUACCGUGAGGGAAAGGUGAAAAGCACCCCGGAAGGGGAGUGAAAUAGAACCUGAAACCGUGUGCUUACAAGUAGUCAGAGCCCGUUAAUGGGUGAUGGCGUGCCUUUUGUAGAAUGAACCGGCGAGUUACGAUUUGAUGCAAGGUUAAGCAGUAAAUGUGGAGCCGUAGCGAAAGCGAGUCUGAAUAGGGCGUUUAGUAUUUGGUCGUAGACCCGAAACCAGGUGAUCUACCCUUGGUCAGGUUGAAGUUCAGGUAACACUGAAUGGAGGACCGAACCGACUUACGUUGAAAAGUGAGCGGAUGAACUGAGGGUAGCGGAGAAAUUCCAAUCGAACCUGGAGAUAGCUGGUUCUCUCCGAAAUAGCUUUAGGGCUAGCCUCAAGUGAUGAUUAUUGGAGGUAGAGCACUGUUUGGACGAGGGGCCCUCUCGGGUUACCGAAUUCAGACAAACUCCGAAUGCCAAUUAAUUUAACUUGGGAGUCAGAACAUGGGUGAUAAGGUCCGUGUUCGAAAGGGAAACAGCCCAGACCACCAGCUAAGGUCCCAAAAUAUAUGUUAAGUGGAAAAGGAUGUGGCGUUGCCCAGACAACUAGGAUGUUGGCUUAGAAGCAGCCAUCAUUUAAAGAGUGCGUAAUAGCUCACUAGUCGAGUGACACUGCGCCGAAAAUGUACCGGGGCUAAACAUAUUACCGAAGCUGUGGAUUGUCCUUUGGACAAUGGUAGGAGAGCGUUCUAAGGGCGUUGAAGCAUGAUCGUAAGGACAUGUGGAGCGCUUAGAAGUGAGAAUGCCGGUGUGAGUAGCGAAAGACGGGUGAGAAUCCCGUCCACCGAUUGACUAAGGUUUCCAGAGGAAGGCUCGUCCGCUCUGGGUUAGUCGGGUCCUAAGCUGAGGCCGACAGGCGUAGGCGAUGGAUAACAGGUUGAUAUUCCUGUACCACCUAUAAUCGUUUUAAUCGAUGGGGGGACGCAGUAGGAUAGGCGAAGCGUGCGAUUGGAUUGCACGUCUAAGCAGUAAGGCUGAGUAUUAGGCAAAUCCGGUACUCGUUAAGGCUGAGCUGUGAUGGGGAGAAGACAUUGUGUCUUCGAGUCGUUGAUUUCACACUGCCGAGAAAAGCCUCUAGAUAGAAAAUAGGUGCCCGUACCGCAAACCGACACAGGUAGUCAAGAUGAGAAUUCUAAGGUGAGCGAGCGAACUCUCGUUAAGGAACUCGGCAAAAUGACCCCGUAACUUCGGGAGAAGGGGUGCUCUUUAGGGUUAACGCCCAGAAGAGCCGCAGUGAAUAGGCCCAAGCGACUGUUUAUCAAAAACACAGGUCUCUGCUAAACCGUAAGGUGAUGUAUAGGGGCUGACGCCUGCCCGGUGCUGGAAGGUUAAGAGGAGUGGUUAGCUUCUGCGAAGCUACGAAUCGAAGCCCCAGUAAACGGCGGCCGUAACUAUAACGGUCCUAAGGUAGCGAAAUUCCUUGUCGGGUAAGUUCCGACCCGCACGAAAGGCGUAACGAUUUGGGCACUGUCUCAACGAGAGACUCGGUGAAAUCAUAGUACCUGUGAAGAUGCAGGUUACCCGCGACAGGACGGAAAGACCCCGUGGAGCUUUACUGUAGCCUGAUAUUGAAAUUCGGCACAGCUUGUACAGGAUAGGUAGGAGCCUUUGAAACGUGAGCGCUAGCUUACGUGGAGGCGCUGGUGGGAUACUACCCUAGCUGUGUUGGCUUUCUAACCCGCACCACUUAUCGUGGUGGGAGACAGUGUCAGGCGGGCAGUUUGACUGGGGCGGUCGCCUCCUAAAAGGUAACGGAGGCGCUCAAAGGUUCCCUCAGAAUGGUUGGAAAUCAUUCAUAGAGUGUAAAGGCAUAAGGGAGCUUGACUGCGAGACCUACAAGUCGAGCAGGGUCGAAAGACGGACUUAGUGAUCCGGUGGUUCCGCAUGGAAGGGCCAUCGCUCAACGGAUAAAAGCUACCCCGGGGAUAACAGGCUUAUCUCCCCCAAGAGUUCACAUCGACGGGGAGGUUUGGCACCUCGAUGUCGGCUCAUCGCAUCCUGGGGCUGUAGUCGGUCCCAAGGGUUGGGCUGUUCGCCCAUUAAAGCGGUACGCGAGCUGGGUUCAGAACGUCGUGAGACAGUUCGGUCCCUAUCCGUCGUGGGCGUAGGAAAUUUGAGAGGAGCUGUCCUUAGUACGAGAGGACCGGGAUGGACAUACCUCUGGUGUACCAGUUGUCGUGCCAACGGCAUAGCUGGGUAGCUAUGUGUGGACGGGAUAAGUGCUGAAAGCAUCUAAGCAUGAAGCCCCCCUCAAGAUGAGAUUUCCCAACUUCGGUUAUAAGAUCCCUCAAAGAUGAUGAGGUUAAUAGGUUCGAGGUGGAAGCAUGGUGACAUGUGGAGCUGACGAAUACUAAUCGAUCGAAGACUUAAUCAA
Molecule: ribosomal RNA, 2922 nt
Filed under: Staphylococcus aureus
Lineage: Bacteria; Bacillati; Bacillota; Bacilli; Caryophanales; Staphylococcaceae
Description: bacterial LSU rRNA
Rfam family: Bacterial large subunit ribosomal RNA
Source: RNAcentral